UAUCAUUUUAUUGUACUAUAUUCUUGAAAUUAUAAGAUUAGGAAUACCACGGAAAUAUCAAAUUAUUUCACCACUUAAUGAUCAAUGUAGUUUGUAUAUAAUAAUGUAAAAAAAUGAUUAAAAUUACCUGAGUCGUAAUUGUCAUUUGCACUUCAUAUCACUCACUCUUUUUUCUUCAUUAUCCACGAAGCUGAUAAGAGAUUGAUUUAUCCGCGACAGGAAGCAAAUUUAGCGUUUUCGGUCCGUGUUGUUCUGGAUCAGAUCACUAUAAAUAAAAAAAAACAUCAUUAAAGGAUUGCAUCACCACAGAUCAAAUCAUUGCAUAAUUUCUAAAUACAUGAGAUGUGUUUAUUUAAAUAUACCCGGUUUUCAAUAAAUUGCAAAAAUAUUUGUUCGCAGAUCGCAUUACUCGGAAUUGCAAGAUAAAAAAACGGAACAAAGUUUUAAAUAGAUUCUGGAACAUUCUGAAAUUGUAUAUAUAUAUAUAUAUAUAUAUAUAUAUGUAUAUAUAAAAGGAGCAUUCCUAUCUUGCUUAAUCUCACGCUACGGAAUUUGUGCUAGCGGAAUCUCAAGGUAAAUUUACAUCGAAUCGAGCACAAAGUAUAGUCAAUAGCUGUAAAGAACAGAAUGUUGCGAUUGUACAAACGAGAAAAUCAAAAGUUGAGAAUGUAAAGACUUAUGAAGAGGAUGAUCUGAAUAAGGGAAAAAAAGGAACAGACUACUAAAAAGAAAUACAUAGAAAAUGAAGAGCUCGAUAAAGCCAAUCGGAACCAAGAUCCUGAUGACAUUAGAAUCCCAGCAAACACAAAGUAACAAUUAUAUAACAUCAAUGUUAUAAUUUCCCACUCAAUAAUAUAACUGCAAUAUAACAUGGCUUGUACGUAAGAGUUAUAUUAUUGUGUAAGAAAUUAUAACAUUGAUGUUAUGUAAUUGUUACUUUGUGUUUGCUGGAUGAAUAUGAUAAAUGUUAUAAGUCGUUGAUUAAUGAUUAGAAUAAAUUUAGCUGUACAAGAAUUCUCUACGAAAGAUUAAUUGGAAUUCACAAUUCUUUCCCACUUGACGUAUUGGAUAACAAGAAAACGAAUGUCAAAUUGUACGUUAGACGUGUAUUUAUUAUGGACAAUUGCAAAAAAAUUAAUACCAGAGUACUUGAACUUUAAUAAGGCGAAGACUUGUGCGCGACAAUAUUCUCUUAAAAUGUUGUAAUAUAACAAAAUUUUGAAGAUCAUUUGUAAGAAUCUCAUAAAGAAAUGCUUGAAACUCUAUGAUAAAUUUAUGAGAGAACAUUUAUAGGAUCUAUGACCAAUUUAGUAAUAAUAAUAUUAUUAAAUCAGCGUGAUACAGGAUAAAAUAAAAUAUAUAUUUACUAAAAAUAUAUUUACUUUGAUGAGAAUAAGGAGCAUAGUUUAUUCAUCAAAUAUGUAAAGUGAUUAAAACUGAUGCUAUUGACGAAUGCAUAAUGCAACAAAUAAAGCAAUUUGAUGAAAAGCAGUUGUCCAUUAUACCAUUCAUAAUGAAAAAGCACUUCAAAAUCGAAUAAUUAAGAAUUUAAGCUUUGAAAAGCAAUAAUAAAUAAAUAUGUCCAUGAUCUUGUGAUCUUUUUUAUUAUUCAAAAUUAUGCUUCUCUCUAAUUUUAUCUUGAAGAAAUUCAAGCUAUAUACUAUUUGCAUCUAUAGAAUAAUAAUAUUUGAGAUUUGAUAAAACCAGCCUCUUGUCAGAGAAACAAGAUAUGAUAUACAUAUAUAACAUAUGUCAAUAAAUGUCUGUGAGGAAAUGUAAAUAGUAUAUAAAUGAUAAAAAGAUGGAAGACAUUAAUAAUACACAAAUUUAUCACA
Molecule: long non-coding RNA, 1835 nt
Organism: Nylanderia fulva
Lineage: Eukaryota; Metazoa; Arthropoda; Insecta; Hymenoptera; Formicidae
Source: RefSeq, a predicted model, not a curated record